GUUGACUGUUGGAUAGUCCUACCCUCCUCCCCUAGCAGAGCUCUCAUCUUUCUUCCCCACCCCACCACCACAUCCCCCUUCCACCGGACGAGGGCCUACACGAGGCCGCGCGGCCGCUCCUUCUCUGCCCCUUCUUCCAUGCCGCUCCUCUCUUUCAGAUGGCGUGGGAGUGCCGGGGAGGUGGGGUGGGACAAAGAUCGCCGAACGAGCGGCUGAUGUAGAACCCUGCGCCCCCGUUAAUGGAGAGGAAGUGGUACAACCAGAAGUCCUCCAGGUGUGACGCGCCGUCGCGGACGCGAACAAUGUCGGACACCGUAGCAGCGGCUUGCGAGCCUGUGAGGGGGCGGUGGAGGGCAGAUCCGGAGUGGCCGUGGUAGCCGAGCCAGGUCGGGGCGGGCCCUAAGGAUCCUGCACGGGGCUAGGCUCCCGGUGCGGCUCGGCGCGUGGUCAGAUGCCAUCGCCAUUGCAGCCGCCCCUCGGGCUGGUCAACGCUGGGGCCGCUUCCGCCUCAGGCUGUAGGCCUGUAGCGCCAUGAGCGGCCGGAACGAUGGCCACUGCAGCGGUUGCCGGGAACGAACGCCGCGUCGACCUUCUGCUGGCUGGUAUAUAGUGCCGCGGAGGCCGAGGCGCUGACUCACGGGCGCGGGCGUCAUCGGUGCAGAUUGCACGAUGGAGCACCGACCUCCACUGCUAGCAUGAAGGAAAAGUGAGGAGGCAGCUGCACAAAGGUGGAGUUUCGUGCUAUCGGGAUCAAGGGCGGCGGGGCAGUGGAUUUAUCCAGCGGUGAUGCUCCUCGGUCACAGUGAAUCCUAUCUGCAGGGCAAUGCGAUGCAUGUCAGAUUAGCUUUCAACCAUUUUGGGGAAGCACUCAUUCAUAGUAUUUCAAGCCCCGGUCACCGACGUCGCUACACCAAGACCAACAAGUCCCCCAAGUGGACCGAUGACACGAGGCCGAGUCAAAGCGCUACAUGAUAAGGUGAACUCACUCCUCACUACCCUUGAUCUUGAUACCCCAUUGGACGGACUGCUACCUCAGGCCGAUAUGCUUUGUGUUAUCAGAUAUAAACCUCGAGAGAAGGACGUCGCAGCAGACCCGAAGAUGGACGAGGAAGGAGGAGGAGAAGAGUGGCCGCCGAAGGACUCCACUC
Molecule: long non-coding RNA, 1148 nt
Organism: Lolium perenne
Lineage: Eukaryota; Viridiplantae; Streptophyta; Magnoliopsida; Poales; Poaceae
Source: RefSeq, a predicted model, not a curated record